AGACCUGCAGUGGAGACUGGGACAUGUUCAAGCAUCUGUCUCUAUGCUCUCAUCUUUGGAGGAAGGAAAAAGUUUUACCCUGAUUUCCUAGUAGUGGUCCUGCGUUCUGCACUAACCACACAGAAGUAGUUCACAAGGCAUGGUAGAGACCACAGCACCUUUCUGGUGCAUGAGGACACAACAAUCGUUUUCUGCCCAUUGCUUGUGGUUGGCAGUGUCACCUGGCUUCGACAGCAUUGACCUCCACCACUGGGAUUUAUGUGCGGUCUAGAGCACAUGACAGAGAAGGCAGAAGCCCUAAUCCUGAAAAGAACAGAAAACUGCCAGCUCUCACUGAAGGCUAGGAGAGCAUGGACUGGUCUGCAUUUCCCAACAGUAAACACAGAUACUUCUGAAUUUCUAUGAAAAUCAUUUAUGUCCAGG
Long non-coding RNA from Pezoporus occidentalis (night parrot), 423 nucleotides. RefSeq lists it as uncharacterized. The record is from RefSeq and is a predicted model, not a curated record. The transcript has 3 exons. Lineage: Eukaryota; Metazoa; Chordata; Aves; Psittaciformes; Psittacidae.